Molecule: transfer RNA, 91 nt
Filed under: Bacillota bacterium
Lineage: Bacteria; Bacillati; Bacillota
Also listed under: 1 other name
Description: tRNA-Ser
Rfam family: tRNA
About the family: Transfer RNA (tRNA) molecules are approximately 80 nucleotides in length. Their secondary structure includes four short double-helical elements and three loops (D, anti-codon, and T loops).
Source: RNAcentral
GGAGAGUUAUCGAAGUGGUCAUAACGAGCUCGACUCGAAAUCGAGUUGUCGGCUAAUAACCGGCACGUGGGUUCAAAUCCCACACUCUCCG